AUCAGGUCCAAUUGAUCCUGAUUCUUUUAAUUCUGCCAGUACUUCUGAAACUUCUUCUAUCCAUCCUAGCUCACCAUAAAUGUUAAUCAUAAUGUUGUAAGUGUAAUGAUCAGAAGAGUGACCAGAUUCCUUCAGUCUUUCCAAGACAUUACGGAAUUUCUCCAUUUGUCCUUCCUUCCCAUAGGCAUCUAACAUACAAUUGUAGGCUUCAAGAGAAACCGAAAACCCAUUGAAGUGCAUUUUCUUGACAGUUGAUGACAUAUUCUUGAAGUCUUUGCUUCUCCCAUAUGCAGCUAUGAGAGUGUUGUAAGAG
Molecule: unclassified non-coding RNA, 313 nt
Filed under: Hevea brasiliensis (rubber tree)
Lineage: Eukaryota; Viridiplantae; Streptophyta; Magnoliopsida; Malpighiales; Euphorbiaceae
Source: RNAcentral